Molecule: unclassified non-coding RNA, 512 nt
Filed under: Hevea brasiliensis (rubber tree)
Lineage: Eukaryota; Viridiplantae; Streptophyta; Magnoliopsida; Malpighiales; Euphorbiaceae
Source: RNAcentral
CUUCCUCCUAAAAGAUAAAAGUGGAAAAAAGGGCAUCCAUGAGAAGAGGCUAAGAAUGUGCACAGGUAAGAUUUGUUUUAUCCCCAAUCUAAAUUUUAUUGCUAAAAUGACCAUGGGGAUCUUAUUCUCUAGCAUAACAGCGAUUAUCCUCUACUUCCCGGACAAAGAAUGGAUACCAGAGGCAGAGCAACUGUAAAACUAAAGAUUGCAAUGUUUGCAUCCCCAGAGAGAAUCGGGAGAUUGCUCCAGGCAAAAACAGCAUCCCGUUUUCGCUCCCCCUUCAGGUCUUCUCCCCCGUCAUGGCUCAGCUAUGGUGCCUUCAGUUUAAGCAAUUGCGGGUAGAGUGAAAAAGACUGCCAUAUAUGAUAAAGAGAGUAAAAGAUUCUCGACCAUGCAAGACGAUGAACGAAAAAGGGCAGAAAGGACAACUUAAGGUGAGCUUUCAACAGUUGUUUUACUCCCAUUCCAUUUGUUCACGUGGAGCAAGAAAAUUUGACAAAACUGAUAUUUGA